AGAGUUUGAUCAUGGCUCAGAUUGAACGCUGGCGGCAUGCUUUACACAUGCAAGUCGAACGGCAGCGCGGGGGCAACCCUGGCGACGAGUGGCGAACGGGUGAGUAAUGUAUCGGAACGUAUCCUGUAAUGGGGGAUAACCAGUCGAAAGAUUGGGUAAUACCGCAUACGCACGAGAGUGGAAAGUAGGGGAUCGCAAGACCUUACGUUAUAGGAGCGGCCGAUAUCUGAUUAGCUAGUUGGUGGGGUAAAGGCCUACCAAGGCGACGAUCAGUAGCUGGUCUGAGAGGAUGAUCAGCCACACUGGGACUGAGACACGGCCCAGACUCCUACGGGAGGCAGCAGUGGGGAAUUUUGGACAAUGGGCGAAAGCCUGAUCCAGCCAUGCCGCGUGCGGGAAGAAGGCCUUCGGGUUGUAAACCGCUUUAGUCUAGGAAAAAGGGGUGCGAGGUUAAUACCCUCGUGCUUUGAUGGUACUGGAAGAAUAAGCACCGGCUAACUACGUG
RNAcentral lists this ribosomal RNA (505 nucleotides) under uncultured bacterium. RNAcentral's name for it is "bacterial SSU rRNA". It matches the Rfam family "Bacterial small subunit ribosomal RNA", at positions 8 to 507 of the family's 1533-position model. The record is from RNAcentral.